CAGAGAAUANUCUANGUAGGAUGGUAGCUUUGGGGGUUGCAGGUGUGANUGUAGAUUCUUACUUUUCUGA
This 70-nucleotide transfer RNA is filed under the name Diplasiaster productus. Its description in RNAcentral is "tRNA-Pro". The record is from RNAcentral. Lineage: Eukaryota; Metazoa; Echinodermata; Asteroidea; Valvatida; Goniasteridae.